UACGGAGGGUGCAAGCGUUAUCCGGAUUUAUUGGGUUUAAAGGGUGCGUAGGCGGAUUAUUAAGUCAGUGGUGAAAGCCUAUAGCUUAACUAUAGAACUGCCAUUGAUACUGAUAAUCUUGAGUAUAGUUGAAGUGGGUAGAAUGUACUAUGUAGCGGUGAAAUGCUUAGAUAUAGUACAGAAUACCAAUCGCGAAGGCAGCUCACUAAACUAUUACUGACGCUGAGGCACGAAAGCGUGGGGAGCAAACAGG
RNAcentral lists this unclassified non-coding RNA (253 nucleotides) under uncultured Cryomorphaceae bacterium. RNAcentral's name for it is "contains 16S-23S intergenic spacer region". It matches the Rfam family "Bacterial small subunit ribosomal RNA", at positions 524 to 776 of the family's 1533-position model. Lineage: Bacteria; Pseudomonadati; Bacteroidota; Flavobacteriia; Flavobacteriales; Cryomorphaceae. The record is from RNAcentral.